Long non-coding RNA from Poecilia latipinna (sailfin molly), 825 nucleotides. RefSeq lists it as uncharacterized. The record is from RefSeq and is a predicted model, not a curated record. The transcript has 2 exons. Lineage: Eukaryota; Metazoa; Chordata; Actinopteri; Cyprinodontiformes; Poeciliidae.
AGAAACUCGGCGGAUGAGAACGAAUACCGGGGCUUUCCUGCUCCAACACUUCAAACAGCCGCAGCCGAGCUCGAACAGCUAAGACGAGUUGGCUUGGGAACUCACUGGAGAACCGGGAAAGAAGAAGAAAAAGAAGAAGAGGAAGGAGGGAGAGAGCGAAAGAGGGGUGAAAAACAGCCCCAGGGCUGGAGGGAAGAUAUUGUAUGCAUGUGCACUCAAGCACAAGGUUUGUGGCCAGCUGCUUAAGGAUUUUUUUUCUUUUUCUGGGGAGUCAAGAUUAUCCACAGAGUCAAUAGAGUGAGGGAGGAAGAUGAGGAGAGAGAGGCUGCUUAUGCCAGUGUUACUCAAUUCUGCUGCUGGGGGGAACAGAGAGACACUGUCAGCACUGUUUUGUUUUAUACUCUUUAGUGCAGGACACACAAACCCUCUUACGCACAGAUCUGUGAGAAUUAAUUUUGAACUCAGUACACCUUGAUAAAUCUUUACAACCGGAUUGGAGACCAUGAAUCUCUUCAGGUCCUGCAUGGCACAUUCGCUUUUAAGCUCCAAAUCCCUCCUACCCGUCACUUUCUUUCUAACGAUGACGCCUCUCAGGACGUUAUAUUUUAAUAUUUCUCAGUUUCUUUUCCAGCUUUAUUUUAUUUUUUUAUUAUUUUGAUGUAUUAAACGUGACUGAGGGGGGGAGAAGGCGCCGGCGUUUCCUCGUCCCGGUUUGAAACUGAGCAGUUGCCAAGGUUGCGGCUUCCACAUUUUCACAGCCAUGCCUGUCAAAGGGCUGAAAGGGGGGCUAAAGCCCUUGGAAAAAAAAUAAAUAAAAAAACAAAA